Molecule: long non-coding RNA, 235 nt
Organism: Haliotis rufescens (red abalone)
Lineage: Eukaryota; Metazoa; Mollusca; Gastropoda; Lepetellida; Haliotidae
Exons: 2
Source: RefSeq, a predicted model, not a curated record
UACUGACAAGAUGUUUACAAGGCUGCAUAUUCAAGCACGGGAAGACAUGAUCCGGUAUCAUGUCACUCCUGCUGCGAGUUUAUGGCCGUCGCUGGAUGAGGAAUCCGACUGUGUAUGUAGUUUAUCUACAUCUGUUUCGGAUUUGGCCGCCGAAUAGAUCACUUAAGUGCUUUUGUCGAUGUCCCCCACGCACACUAUUGACAUUGCCCAUUUUCUCUGUGUGUUAUUGUGUCCU